Long non-coding RNA from Musa acuminata AAA Group (dessert banana), 2763 nucleotides. RefSeq lists it as uncharacterized. The transcript has 2 exons. NCBI's taxonomy places the organism in Eukaryota, Viridiplantae, Streptophyta, Magnoliopsida, Zingiberales, Musaceae. The record is from RefSeq and is a predicted model, not a curated record.
UUAGGAAACGAAAACACGAUUGUUAAAAUGCUCGAAGCAUGUUUUCUAGGAAGUGUUUCCUAACUUUUCGUAGGGCUCUAUCUCGACGGCGCCGCCCUCCUCGCCUCACUCUCGCUCCGAUUACGCUGCUGUUUCAAUCCCUACCCAUCUCCCCAUUCGAUCUUUCUCUUUACUUGUUGUUGAUGUAUCUAUUAGUUGAUCGAUUGCUGCUUUCCGAAGUUCUAUUGUCUGUAGCCAUAUGCAACAUGGAUCAUAACAGUAGAACAUUUGCCCCUAUUUGAUGGCCUUUGGUUUGGUUACAUGUUCCAAGGGCUUGUUUUUGCUGAAAAUUAUAGAUCUUUUAUAUAUGAGAUGCUGUGUAUUAUGCUUUUGGACAUGGAAAAGGAAAUUGGUUGGGCAUGAUUUUGUGUUUGGUUGCCCAAUAAACCUAUGAGCUUCAGUUAGAAGAGCUUGGUCUGUCAAAAUCAUAUGCAAGGAAGGCAGAAGAAAACUGUGAUGGUUGGUUAUCAUCUCAUAAUUGUCCUUUAGUUCCUAAAAUUUACAUUCACUGACUCGGGACAAUGGUUAUCCUUUUUAUUUAUGCAAGUCAAAUUUAUAGUUUCAUGUUUGUUUGCAGUCUUCUUUGUGGUAUGCAAUUCGUAGGGAGGAUGCAAUUGUAGUUCUCAGGUAAUUUUCUGUGGAUAUGAACCAAAAGGAACUAAAGGGAGAUUGAACAAUGUUAAUGCAAGAGGUGAUGUAGAAUGGAGUAGAGAAGUAGAGAGAGAGAGAGAGAGGGGAAGAGAAAGAGAAGUGUGAGACUAGAGAGGAGAAUAAAAGGCUAGAAGAGAGAAGAUGCAAUUUUUUUUGUUCAGAUCUGAAGUGUUUCAUCGAUUGACAAGCUCUACUAUUUAUAUGGGUUUGGAGCCUUAGUACAAUCAAUGAAGGCAAUGAUUCCCAAGAGUAAUCUCAUAGAGAACUUAUUUGCCUUUUAGAAACUUAAAACGUGACUUCUAGGAGACCUAAAUAGCUUACUACAGUUGAGAAGAAAAAGAGUGCGCUUAAUACAAAUCUAGAGUCCCAAGGUUAGCACCUAUGAAGGUUCUUUAUUUUUCCACACAACUCUUAGAGUUUUUAGGUUAGGUAAUUGAUGAUUUUUUAUUUUUUUUCUUUGCCUAGAAUAAACUCUUCUAAAAUCCUUUAUAAACUUAGAUGGUUCUCCAUCAAGAGGGUGCCCGGGAAUAAUUUGCUUGAGCCUCACUUUCAUCUGAGCAUAUUGUUCCUCUUAUCUUCCGACACUUGUAUGUUUGAAGAUCUCUAGAAAGCCUGAGCUUAAUCUCCAGCUAAAGUCUGGCUGUGCAAACAAGAUUAGGCUUUUCCGGUGCUUUUUGUUUGUUUUUAUAAUGAUCGCUGAAGAUGAUCCACAUUGAUUUGGGAUUUCCUUAUUGAAUAGUUCAAUGGCGAUUAGUAGCCAAGUGGGAGUUGGGGGGUUUAGGAAGGUCAUCCGGGCCAAUGGAGAUUCUGUAUUGGUUUGUUUCAAUUAAAUGAUUACCCUGAUAAUGCUGCAUUCUUGUGUUCUUUUCAUUCUUUAUGGUGAUGUACUUUGAGCUUGUAUUUUGUAUCAGUUCCCGCAUAAGUGCUUUCUCAAAAGUAAAAUGCAUCAUGUAUACUGUAUCUAGCUUUUUAGUAUUAUUUAAGUAUUGAAUAUUCCUUUUGGUUAAUUAAAGGAAAGAUUGAGCAAAUGUUUGUUUUUGCAGUACAAAGACAAUUAGUUUAUUGAUUGUUGACAUAUUUUGUUCAUAUUAUUCACCUAUUCUUCAUUUUUUUGUUGCUACAUUAUCGUGCACUUAUUUGAAACAUGAAAUAAGAUAACCAUCUCUUUGAAUAAAGGAGUUGUGAACCUCAAAACUAUAUGAUGUGGUGCAAAUUCAGUCACUCUCAAUGUUAUUUCUGGUAAUUUUUUCAUCCUUGAACUAUAUAACCCGAUAAACCAAGGUUUAUUUCACAUAUUGAUAGGAAGUCAAGAUUUUGGUGCAACACCAUUCUAGAACAAGAUCAUAUGAUUAAUUUGUAGACACAUCUAAAGUACAGAGGUCAUAGUUACCUAGAUUUAACCUCAUGCAGAAUAUGCAACACUUAAGCUUAUUAAUUCUUGUGCAUCAUGUCUUUUUAUGGCUGAAAAUGCUUUACAAAAUAAUUUUCUUGUACAUGACUCACCUGAAAUUUGGAAUCUGUACUAACGUUAUAUUGCUGAAAUGAUCCACCUCACAUUUUUCAUGACUGAAAGGUUUCGAACCACUUUUGGCUAUGCAGAGUUUGAAAUUGUCUGAGCAUAUAAAUGAAGAAAGAGAAGCAGCAAAACGGGUGAAUCAACCAUAACACUUGGAAAAAUGCUUGUCUACAUGCUUGAUUAAUUUGUUCUUGGGUUUCUUCGGUGGGGUAUACUUAGAAAAAGAGAUAUUUCUCGUGUGUAUGUGCACAGUGAAAAUUUAGGAAAGAAAACUGAUAAAGAAGUACAACAAACUUGUACCUUGGCGUUUGCCCGAAAAUCUUGCAGUUUUCUUAAUCGCCUGCUUCAUUCUUCUCAAGUUCAUCACUUGCUGGAAAGCUCGAAUCAUGCUUUGAAAAGAGGUGGAGACAAAAACACGACUAGAAAAUGUCACUGUAUGCCCCAUCAGAGAUCUAGCAAUAGUGCACAAGAACAAGGAUUUGUGGUUUUGCUCCAAAACAAAUGUCUCUGUUUAUUUCCCUGUCAACUGAAGAACAAAUGAAUUCUCCUCCUGUCAA